GGUUACUGCUAUCGGUGUUCGCCUAAGCCAUGCGAGUCAUAUGUUCUUCGGAACAUGGCGUACUGCUCAGUAACACGUGGAUAACCUGCCCUUGGGUCCGGCACAACCCCGGGAAACUGGGGAUAAUUCCGGAUAACGCACAUAUGCUGGAAUGCUUUAUGCGUCAAAUGGAUUCGUCUGCCCAAGGAUGGGUCUGCGGCCUAUCAGGUAGUAGUGGGUGUAAUGUACCUACUAGCCUACGACGGGUACGGGUUGUGAGAGCAAGAGCCCGGAGAUGGAUUCUGAGACAUGAAUCCAGGCCCUACGGGGCGCAGCAGGCGCGAAAACUUUACAAUGCGGGAAACCGUGAUAAGGGGACACCGAGUGCCAGCAUCAUAUGCUGGCUGUCCGGGUGUGUAAAAUACACCUGUUAGCAAGGGCCGGGCAAGACCGGUGCCAGCCGCCGCGGUAACACCGGCGGCCCGAGUGGUGAUCGUGAUUAUUGGGUCUAAAGGGUCUGUAGCCGGUUUGGUCAGUCCUCCGGGAAAUCUGACGGCUUAACCGUUAGGCUUUCGGGGGAUACUGCCAGACUUGGAACCGGGAGAGGUAAGAGGUACUACAGGGGUAGGAGUGAAAUCUUGUAAUCCCUGUGGGACCACCUGUGGCGAAGGCGUCUUACCAGAACGGGUUCGACGGUGAGGGACGAAAGCUGGGGGCACGAACCGGAUUAGAUACCCGGGUAGUCCCAGCCGUAAACGAUGCUCGCUAGGUGUCAGGCAUG
Molecule: ribosomal RNA, 760 nt
Filed under: uncultured archaeon
Lineage: Archaea
Description: bacterial SSU rRNA
Rfam family: Archaeal small subunit ribosomal RNA
Source: RNAcentral